CGGACGGGUGAGUAACGCGUGGGUAACCUGCCUUGUACUGGGGGACAACAGUUAGAAAUGACUGCUAAUACCGCAUAAGCGCACAGUAUCGCAUGAUACAGUGUGAAAAACUCCGGUGGUACAAGAUGGACCCGCGUCUGAUUAGCUAGUUGGUAAGGUAACGGCUUACCAAGGCGACGAUCAGUAGCCGACCUGAGAGGGUGACCGGCCACAUUGGGACUGAGAUACGGCCCAA
This 235-nucleotide ribosomal RNA is filed under the name uncultured bacterium. Its description in RNAcentral is "partial 16S ribosomal RNA". It matches the Rfam family "Bacterial small subunit ribosomal RNA", at positions 99 to 334 of the family's 1533-position model. The record is from RNAcentral.